GGAGGGAGCUAGCGUUAUUCGGAAUUACUGGGCGUAAAGCGCACGUAGGCGGCUUUGUAAGUAAGAGGUGAAAGCCUGGUGCUCAACACCAGAACUGCCUUUUAGACUGCAUCGCUUGAAUCCAGGAGAGGUGAGUGGAAUUCCGAGUGUAGAGGUGAAAUUCGUAGAUAUUCGGAAGAACACCAGUGGCGAAGGCGGCUCACUGGACUGGUAUUGACGCUGAGGUGCGAAAGCGUGGGGGGAGCAAACAGGAUUAGAUACCCUGGUAGUCCACGCCGUAAACGAUGAUAACUAGCUGUCGGGGGUUCAUAGAACUUCGGUGGCGCAGCUAACGCAUUAAGUUAUCCGCCUGGGAGUACGGCCGCAAGGUUA
This 372-nucleotide ribosomal RNA is filed under the name uncultured organism. RNAcentral's name for it is "partial 16S ribosomal RNA". It matches the Rfam family "Bacterial small subunit ribosomal RNA", at positions 527 to 896 of the family's 1533-position model. The record is from RNAcentral.